This 109-nucleotide non-coding RNA is filed under the name Actinacidiphila cocklensis. RNAcentral describes it as "Streptomyces cocklensis TPP". It matches the Rfam family "TPP riboswitch aptamer (THI element)". From Rfam's summary of the family: Vitamin B(1) in its active form thiamin pyrophosphate (TPP) is an essential coenzyme that is synthesised by coupling of pyrimidine and thiazole moieties in bacteria. The previously detected thiamin-regulatory element, thi box was extended, resulting in a new, highly conserved RNA secondary structure, the THI element, which is widely distributed in eubacteria and also occurs in some archaea. The record is from RNAcentral. Lineage: Bacteria; Bacillati; Actinomycetota; Actinomycetes; Kitasatosporales; Streptomycetaceae.
AGCGAACUCGCGGGAGCCCGGCGGACCGGGCUGAGAGGGCGGCUGGAGGCCGCCGACCGUAGAACCUGAUCCGGGUCAUGCCGGCGAAGGGAGGAGCGGUAGUUCCAUG